UCUCGAUAGGGCAUAGGCACGUGAGUGAUUCUGAGACAUCUGCCUUGCCCUCUCGACCUGUGCUGCAGCUCCUGUUCUGGCAGCAGUAGGCAAAGAGCACUAAGUGUGAGGUGCCAGUGGGCCUCAGUAGCAGUAGUGUGACCUUGUAGCAGCCUCCUCAAUCACCAGGCAACCUCCAGGGAGUUCUGUUCUGCAGCAGGCUGCAGUAGUAUGUGCCAAGUGGGGAUGUAGCAUAAAAAUGGUGGAUGGAUCUCCAAUCAAGUUACAGUUGUCUCAGCUCAUCACAGACCCACGAAGGGUUCUUUUGAAGACCCUGACCUGGAGUUACAUGCCGACUUUGGUUCUUUGCGGGAAUAGGACCCGUUCUCAGUGUUUCAGGACUGGCCAUUGCUGUUUGGCACGCCAAGGGUUCAGCCUGAGAGUCCAGCUCGAAUUCAAAAGCCUAAGAUCUCGGGGCUCUGGAGACGGAUGGAUCGAGGGUCGGUGUCAUGACAGGAGACUCCUGUGUUGUCGGGGAGGCCAGAAAAUCUUUCACUGUGGGCCUGAAGACCCGAGAUUUGUGCGAUCUUCAGGCACAAAGUUCUUAAAAAAGCAGCGAAACGGACUUUUUAACAUCGUAAACCAGUGGGUUGUUGUUAUGUCUCCUGCUUGCUGUGAAAAUGGGGGACACCUCCCUCUCCCUUAUUAAGGAGAGAGAGAACCUGUGGUUUGUAUAAUGCCAGAUGAAAUGCGAUAGUCUUUGGGGUAACUACAAGGUAUGUGUCUUUGUUAUUGCCUAGUUCAUG
Mobula hypostoma (lesser devil ray) is the source of this 785-nucleotide long non-coding RNA. RefSeq lists it as uncharacterized. NCBI's taxonomy places the organism in Eukaryota, Metazoa, Chordata, Chondrichthyes, Myliobatiformes, Myliobatidae. The record is from RefSeq and is a predicted model, not a curated record. The transcript is spliced from 3 exons.